This is a long non-coding RNA of Phocoena sinus (vaquita), 2798 nucleotides long. NCBI's taxonomy places the organism in Eukaryota, Metazoa, Chordata, Mammalia, Artiodactyla, Phocoenidae. The record is from Ensembl.
ACCCAGGUAGUCACCAUGGUAAAUAUCAAAAUUUUGCGGGGUUUUCCUUAUACUUUGCUAGAUUUCCUUACACUUAUUUUGUGCUUAAUAUUGGUUUUGAAAUAUAUACUGAGGGCUAAAAUUACGAGGAACAUCAUAAUCUUCCUAUUGCUUAGGCCUCUAAAGUUCUUUUCUGUUUUUUUUUAUAAAUUUAUUUAUUUAUUAUUUAUUUUUGGCUGCGUUGGGUCUUCGUUGCUGUGCGCAGGCUUUCUCUAGUUGUGGCGAGCAGGGGAUACUCUUGGUUGUGGUGCGUGGGCUUCUCGUUCCGGUGGCUUCUCUUGUUGUGGAGCAUAGGCUCUAGGCGCGUGGGCUUCAGUAGUUGUGGCACGUGGGCUCAGUAGCCGUGGCUCGCAGGCUCUAGAGCGCAGGCUCAGUAGUUGUGGCGCAUGGGCUUAGUUGCUCCGCGGCAUGGGGAUAAAUAAGGAGUUUGGGAUUAGCAGAUACAAACUACUAUAUAUAAAACAGAUACACAGGGUACUUCCCUGGUGGUCCAGUGGUUGAGAAUCUGCCUUCCAAUGCAGGGGACACGGGUUCGAUCCCUGGUUGGGGAACUAAUAAUAUUCCAGAGGCCGCGGGUUAACUAAGCCCGUGUGGUGCAACUACUGAGCCCGCGCACUCUGGAGCCCAUGCGCCACAACUAGAGAGAAGCUCGCAUGCCACAAUGAAAAGCCCACUCACCGCAACGAAAGCUCCUGCCACAACUUAAACCUGACGCAGCCAAAUUUAAAAACAAACAAACAAACAGAUAAACAACACGGUCCUACUGUAUAGCACACGGAACUAUACUCAGUAUCCUGUAAUAAACCAUAAUGGAAAAGAAAAAGAAAAACAACUAUAAUGGGAUUCCUCAAGAAGUGAUGAGCUUCCCAGCAAUGGAAGUAUUCAAAAAUAAUUUAAAUCAGCUGUCCCCAACCUUUUUGGCACCAGGGACCAGUUUCACGGAAGACAAUUUUUCCACGAAAGGAAGGUGGCAGGGGGAUAGUUCAGGCGGUAAUGCGAGUGAUGGUGAGCAGCAGAUGAAGGUUCACUCGCUUGCUUGCCCGCUGCUCACCUCCUGCUGUGCAGCCCGGUUCCUAACAGGUCGCGGACUGGUACCAGUCCGCAGCCUGGGGGUUGGGGACCCCUGAUUUAAAUGAUCAUCUGUCAGGGGACUAUAUAAAGCAAUUCUGUAACUGAACGGAAGUCUGGAGACAAGGAGAUUGAUUGUAUUACCUCAAAGGCCCUUUCCAAUUCCAAGUGUCUGUCAUUCUAUUAAAUAAAAUGCAAACAAAUAAACAAAACAAAAACCACUAAUAAAUAACUAAAGAGUUUUCCCUCUGCAUUUUUUUUCAAGCUACGACCAAGAAGCCAGUACAGCUUAGUGGGUUUGAUACCACUUUCCACUUAAGUAAAUGUGGACAAAUUACUUAACUCUAUUUGCCUCACUCUUAUUGUCUGUAAAUUUAGAACAAUAAUAGUACCCAUCUCAUAAGAUUACUAUGAAGAUUAAAUAAUAUGAUACUUUAUAAAGUACUUAAAACAGUGCCUAACAAAGAAAGUGUAUACAACUAGCAGGUAGCUGUGGUGAAUGGGAGUGGGGGUGGAAAGUGAAACCUAAAUGUGCUGCUUGUUUUAGUUAUCUGUUCCCAACCUUCAACCAAAGCAUUCCUGGCUGCUGCUGGCCAGAGGCUAGGUUCCCUUGGCAACCAGCCUCAAAAAAGAGCCCAGAUCUACCUUCUUCAGGAAGGCAGCUCAUUCUCUGCCCUGAAAUCUAUCAUCUUCCUUUGCACAAAGCAGGCUCCCUAAAACCUCACAAAUACCAAUGCUCCAGAUCAAGGAGCUGAGCAGGUAUUAUCCUCGUCACUUCAUAUGAUCAAUUACAGAAUAUCAGAGUUAGAAGGACCAUCUCAGAGACCAUGUAGAGCGACCCCUUUGUUUAAUAAACAAGGACAACAGGCUGAGAAAAGUGAAGUCCUAGAUGUGGCAAGUUGGUGGCAGGGUCAAGACAAGAUCGCAGGCCUCCUCAUUCCUAGCCCAGUAAAGUUUUCCAAUUUUUCAGUAGGACUGGCCCUCCUAAGUCCCAUGCUACUGACCCCCACUACGUACUUUACACAGGUGAAAGAGAAAUAGAAGCAGUAGAGUGCAGAGGUUAAGAGCAUGGACUCUGGAGCCAGACUGCUUAUUCAAAUCCCAGCUCUACCACUUACAGUGACUUUAAGCAAGUUUCCUAACCUCUCUGUUUCUAUAAAAUAGGGAUAAGAGUUACUACCUUAUAGUUAUUUUAAGGAUAUGAUGAGAUAAUCCAUGUAAAAUGCAUGGCACACAGAAAGUGCUCAAUGUGUAUACUGCUUCCUGUUUCUCAUCAUUACUAGUUGCAUUAAGAAGAAACAAUCAUAAUAACAAAUGAGACCAGACAAGCCCCUACUUCUGGUCCAAAGAGCACUGGGAAGAACAAGCAUAUUUGUUUAGCUCCAUUUCCUGGUCCUGGCCAGGAACACCCAAUCCCUAGCAGGGGAAGACUACAACUAACCCAUCACUCAUUCAUUUCUUUGGAUCCAGGAAAGAGUCAACUCAGAGAAUAACCAAGUACAUGCUAUAGUGAUAAGAUAUUUAAGAUCACAAAUAAAGAUUAGGGAGGUCCAAACCCAAAAUGCAAUUCUUGUGGGUCCAGUCUCCUCCUCUUAACCCACGACGGGUGGUAUAGUGUAAAGGUUAAGAACAAGAGCUCUGGAGUUUGACGGCCUGAAAUGCAAAUUCCUGUUCCAUCAUUUAUUUGCUGU